This 481-nucleotide ribosomal RNA is filed under the name uncultured bacterium. Its description in RNAcentral is "partial 16S ribosomal RNA". It matches the Rfam family "Bacterial small subunit ribosomal RNA", at positions 28 to 507 of the family's 1533-position model. The record is from RNAcentral.
GACGAACGCUGGCGGCGUGCUUAACACAUGCAAGUCGAACGGGAUCCGGGCUUUCGGGUUUGGUGAGAGUGGCGAACGGGUGAGUAACACGUGAGUAACCUGCCCCCUUCUUUGGGAUAACGUCGGGAAAUCGGCGCUAAUACAGGAUAUUCUUGCUGCAUCGCAUGGUGUGGUUUGGAAAGGGUUUCUGGUGGGGGAUGGGCUCGCGGCCUAUCAGCUUGUUGGUGGGGUGAUGGCCUACCAAGGCUUUGACGGGUAGCCGGCCUGAGAGGGUGUCCGGCCACACUGGGACUGAGACACGGCCCAGACUCCUACGGGAGGCAGCAGUGGGGAAUAUUGCACAAUGGGCGCAAGCCUGAUGCAGCGACGCCGCGUGAGGGAUGACGGCCUUCGGGUUGUAAACCUCUUUCAGUAUGGAACAAGGAUCCUUCUUUUGGGGGGUUUGAGGGUACGUGCAGAAGAAGCGCCGGCUAACUACGUG